This 27-nucleotide non-coding RNA is filed under the name Homo sapiens (human). The record is from RNAcentral. Lineage: Eukaryota; Metazoa; Chordata; Mammalia; Primates; Hominidae.
UGAGAAGACCGUUGAUGACAUGAUGUC